This 253-nucleotide ribosomal RNA is filed under the name uncultured bacterium. Its description in RNAcentral is "partial 16S ribosomal RNA". It matches the Rfam family "Bacterial small subunit ribosomal RNA", at positions 524 to 776 of the family's 1533-position model. The record is from RNAcentral.
UACGUAGGGUGCAAGCGUUAUUCGGAAUUACUGGGCGUAAAGCGUACGCAGGCGGCUAUGUAAGUCAGGUGUGAAAUCCCCGGGCCUAACCUGGGAACUGCAUUUGUGACUGCAUAGCUAGAGUCCGUCAGAGGGGGGUGGAAUUCCACGUGUAGCAGUGAAAUGCGUAGAGAUGUGGAGGAACACCGAUGGCGAAGGCAGCCCCCUGGGAUGAGACUGACGCUCAUGUACGAAAGCGUGGGGAGCAAACAGG